This is a long non-coding RNA of Cyprinodon tularosa, 328 nucleotides long. RefSeq lists it as uncharacterized. NCBI's taxonomy places the organism in Eukaryota, Metazoa, Chordata, Actinopteri, Cyprinodontiformes, Cyprinodontidae. The record is from RefSeq and is a predicted model, not a curated record. The transcript is spliced from 3 exons.
UGGUCUCCGCACCAGAAACAGCCAGACGCUCAGCAGACCCAGAGGGAUCUCUUUCCUCCUGAAUGGAUUCAACCUUCAGCAUGUUGUUUUUACUCCUGUUUGCCAGCUGGUUGGCCUCUUGUGCUUCAGAGACAGUGAUAAUAUUCUUUCAAACAGCUAUCAAAUCCCAACAUGAGCUGAAUGAAACUACGCUUGCUCUACUCUUAAAGCAGCUUCGGGGAAUCAUCCAGGGACAUCAACCAAACGCUGACUUCAGCCUCACGCUCAGGAACGUCACCAAAGUCUGAAACUGUACAUAUUUCUCUCCCAUUACUUUGAGAUAAAAAAG